GACUUCAUAGAUGUAUAAUAAAACUUCAACAGCACUAGCCUUGCUGUAAACCAUGGAUGUAUUUGUUCGUGACAAAAAAAGCAACCAACGGCGAAGAUAUGCUCCAAAAACUGAAGCAGUAUUAAAUGCUAAAAUUGUUAAUACCAUGGUUAAUUCGUGUCGACCAUUAAUUUAUUUAUGAUUUAUGUGGAAAACGAGUCAUCAUUCAGUAGGAAGCUUUAGACUAAAAUCACUGGAGUCUAAACUGUGUUUUGGGCAAUUUUUGGUGAGAAAGUGAUACUUAAUGCGAUAUAUAACUACGACUUGGCAGGUAAAGUUAUUACUAAGAUUUUACAAAUAUUUUCUAACUUUUUAUAUUGAUAGGCACAUUCAUAUGUCGUCAUUCAGAGAAAUAUGACUUUUCUGGCCUUUUGCUGGUCUUUUGGGAAGUUUUACGAAGAUUAAAAUAAAAAAAAAAGACUAAAAAUAAUAAUACACAUUCAAAUAAUAAUUGACUUUGUUUAUAGCUGGAGGUGUCCUGUCAACAAUUUUACUGGUAUCUCUUUUACAAUGGUUGCCUAUGGGGAAAAUGUUUUGGGCCGCGGGGACUUUUUCAUUGCAGUAUCGCGAGUGGCCACUGGAAAAAAAUGGCUGCAAGGCUGAACGGCGGCACCGUAUCCAGUUCUUACAAUACAUCCAUGUCCAAACCUUAUCGGUAUCCUACCUUCCCCGUGAAUGUAUUAUAAGAGCAAUUAGAGGCUAUUGCUAGACAGAACAGAACCAGCUGUUCUUUUCUGCCAGUGUUAGCUGGCGUAUGUCGUCAUUGGCGGCGACGUGUCUCGUCAUUGGCCAGUACUUUCCAGAGGCACAGAGAGGCGGAGAAACGAGGUCGGGCAAACUGAUUAUAAGCAACCUUUGAACCAUUGCAUCGGUUUGUCAGUACUGUGAGGAAACCUAAUUACCGAAGAAGCCUGGAAGCUAAAACAAGCAUUGGAGCUGCUUUUUUGUCGAACACGAAUGAGACUGGACGCUGAAUACACCUGCAUUGCAAAGGUCUACUUGUUCAGCUGCUGCAGCUUGGACAGAGACACCAACAUCACCUUACAGACCAACAGAGACGGUGUCCACGAUCACAGAGACCUCGUCCAUGAUCAGAGACAUUGUCCCUGACUCGUAGAGACCUGUUCAACAAUUGACAGAGACUGGGGUCACCGAUACGAUGGCAUUGCCUGUGAUCAGAGAGACAUCGUCCAAACCUUGGUGUCAUCACUUCGUCCACGACAUCGUCCAUGAUCGGAGAGACAUUUUUGAGGAUGGAGACAAUGUCCAUGAUCAGAAUCAAAAAAUGUCAUAGUAUGGUAAGGCCUUAAAAACUGUGAAAAAAUUUCAUAAAGGCAUAAAAA
Molecule: long non-coding RNA, 1382 nt
Organism: Lates calcarifer (barramundi perch)
Lineage: Eukaryota; Metazoa; Chordata; Actinopteri; Centropomidae
Exons: 4
Source: RefSeq, a predicted model, not a curated record